AAAGACUUAGGUUAAUAAGACCAUGAGCCUUCAAAGCUUAAAGAGCGGGUUAAACUCCCACAGUCUUUG
This 69-nucleotide transfer RNA is filed under the name Actinopyga echinites. Its description in RNAcentral is "tRNA-Trp". It matches the Rfam family "tRNA". Rfam says of the family: Transfer RNA (tRNA) molecules are approximately 80 nucleotides in length. Lineage: Eukaryota; Metazoa; Echinodermata; Holothuroidea; Aspidochirotida; Holothuriidae. The record is from RNAcentral.